CGCGACCUCAGGUCAGACGUG
This 21-nucleotide microRNA is filed under the name Gallus gallus (chicken). RNAcentral describes it as "microRNA Ros-gga". The record is from RNAcentral. Lineage: Eukaryota; Metazoa; Chordata; Aves; Galliformes; Phasianidae.